GCCUGACUGGUUCAGUCAGUAGAACAUGUGACUCUUGAUCUGAGGGUUGUGAGUUUAAGCCUCACAUUGGGCA
Molecule: transfer RNA, 73 nt
Filed under: Canis lupus familiaris (dog)
Lineage: Eukaryota; Metazoa; Chordata; Mammalia; Carnivora; Canidae
Also listed under: 2 other names
Rfam family: tRNA
About the family: Transfer RNA (tRNA) molecules are approximately 80 nucleotides in length.
Source: Rfam by way of RNAcentral